Small nuclear RNA from Phyllostomus discolor (pale spear-nosed bat), 107 nucleotides. NCBI's taxonomy places the organism in Eukaryota, Metazoa, Chordata, Mammalia, Chiroptera, Phyllostomidae. The record is from RefSeq and is a predicted model, not a curated record.
GUGCUCACUUCAGUAGCACAUUUACUAAAAUUGGAAUGAUAUAGAGAAGAUGAGUGUGGCCCUUGUGCGAGGGUGACACACAAAUUUGUGAAGUGGUCCAUAUUUUU